This 1471-nucleotide ribosomal RNA is filed under the name uncultured Bordetella sp. RNAcentral's name for it is "partial 16S-23S ribosomal RNA intergenic spacer". It matches the Rfam family "Bacterial small subunit ribosomal RNA". The record is from RNAcentral. Lineage: Bacteria; Pseudomonadati; Pseudomonadota; Betaproteobacteria; Burkholderiales; Alcaligenaceae.
CUCACCAGAUUGAACGCUGGCGGGAUGCUUUACACAUGCAAGUCGAACGGCAGCACGGACUUCGGUCUGGUGGCGAGUGGCGAACGGGUGAUAAUGUAUCGGAACGUGCCUAGUAGCGGGGGAUAACUACGCGAAAGCGUAGCUAAUACCGCAUACGCCCUUCGGGGGAAAGCGGGGACCUUCGGGCUCCCGCACUGUUAGAGCGGCCGAUAUCGGAUUAGCUAGUUGGUGGGGUAACGGCUCACCAAGGCGACGAUCCGUAGCUGGUUUGAGAGGACGACCAGCCACACUGGGACUGAGACACGGCCUCAGACUCCUACGGGAGGCAGCAGUGGGGAAUUUUGGACAAUGGGGGAAACCCCGAUCCAGCCAUCCCGCGUGUGCGAUGAAGGCCUUCGGGUUGUAAAGCACUUUUGGCAGGAAGAAACGGCACGGGAUAAUACCCCCGUGCAACUGACGGUACCUGCAGAAUAAGCACCGGUUAACUACGUGCCAGCAGCCGCGGUAAUACGUAGGGGUGCAAGCGUUAAUCGGAAUUACUGGGCGCGUAAAAGCGUGCGCAGGCGGUUCGGAAAGAAAGAUGUGAAAUCCCAGAGCUUAACUUUGAACUGCAUUUUUAACUACCGAGCUAGAGUGUGUCAGAGGGAUGUGGAAUUCCGCGUGCAGUGAAAUGCGUAGAUAUGCGGAGGAACACCGAUGGCGAAGGCAGCCUCCUGGGAUAACACUGACGCUCAUGCACGAAAGCGUGGGGAGCAAACAGGAUUAGAUACCCUGGUAGUCCACGCCCUAAACGAUGUCAACUAGCUGUUGGGGCCUUCGCCUGGUAGCGCAGCUAACGCGUGAAGUUGACCGCCUUUUGGGAGUACGGUCGCAAGAUUAAAACCUCAAAGGAAUUGACGGGGACCCGCACAAGCGGUGGAUGAUGUGGAUUAAUUCGAUGCAACGCGAAAAACCUUACCUACCCUUGACAUGUCUGGAAUCCCGAAGAGAUUUGGGAGUGCCCGCAAGAGAACCGGAACACAGGUGCUGCAUGGCUGUCGUCAGCUCGUGUCGAGAUGUUGGGUUAAGUCCCGCAACGAGCGCAACCCUUGUCAUUAGUUGCUACGAAAGGGCACUCUAAUGAGACUGCCGGUGACAAACCGGAGGAAGGUGGGAUGACGUCAAGUCCUCAUGGCCCUUAUGGGUAGGGCUUCACACGUCAUACAAUGGUCGGGACAGGUCGCCAACCCGCGAGGGGGGAGUCAAUCCCAGAAACCCGAUCGUAGUCCGGAUCGCAGUCUGCAACUCGACUGCGCAGUCGGAAUCGCUAGUAAUCGCGGAUCAGCAUGUCGCGGUGAAUACGUUCCCGGGUCUUGUACACACCGCCCGUCACACCAUGGGAGUGGGUUUUACCAGAAGUAGUUAGCCUAACCGUAAGGAGGGCGAUUACCACGGUAGGAUUCAUGACUGGGGUGAAGUCGUAACAAGGUAG